RNAcentral lists this ribosomal RNA (253 nucleotides) under uncultured bacterium. RNAcentral describes it as "partial 16S ribosomal RNA". It matches the Rfam family "Bacterial small subunit ribosomal RNA", at positions 524 to 776 of the family's 1533-position model. The record is from RNAcentral.
GACAGAGGGUGCAAACGUUGCUCGGAAUCACUGGGCGUAAAGGGCGUGUAGGCGGGAGGGAAAGUCAGAUGUGAAAUCCCCAGGCUCAACCUGGGAACUGCAUUUGAAACUCCCCUUCUUGAGUAUCAGAGAGGAAAGCGGAAUUCCUGGUGUAGAGGUGAAAUUCGUAGAUAUCAGGAGGAACACCAGUGGCGAAGGCGGCUCACUGGCCCGGUACUGACGCUGAGGUGCGAAAGCGUGGGGAGCAAACAGG